Molecule: transfer RNA, 77 nt
Filed under: Podarcis lilfordi (Lilford's wall lizard)
Lineage: Eukaryota; Metazoa; Chordata; Lepidosauria; Squamata; Lacertidae
Description: tRNA.Ile
Source: RNAcentral
GCCUGGAUAGAUCAGUUGGUUAGAGCAUGGUGCUGAUGAUAAUGCCAGGGUUGCAGGUUUAAUCCCCGUACGGGACA